Corticium candelabrum is the source of this 469-nucleotide long non-coding RNA. RefSeq lists it as uncharacterized. Lineage: Eukaryota; Metazoa; Porifera; Homoscleromorpha; Homosclerophorida; Plakinidae. The transcript is spliced from 3 exons. The record is from RefSeq and is a predicted model, not a curated record.
UGUACGGCGGUGGUUUUGUCGUCCGUUGUCUUUGUCAGUCGUCUGAUUACGUCUUAUUCGUUGUUACAAACAUUAUGAGGUGCUCUUCUUUCUCACUGGGUCUACUGCUUCGUUCUCAAGUCACAGGCUUCAAAACAGUCUGCACGAUCUACUGACAUUGAAUUAGCAGCUGGACAGAAUUAUCAUGAAGAAUUCCUUCAGAGUUAUAUCCUAUGAUAAGAAUAUAUAUCGGGCAGCAGAAACUUGCAAGUGUCAUUCAGGAGCUGCUGCUGAGGCUGGAGAAGUAGCCAAGGACGAGGUCAUUCCAACGUAACAUCAUUGCAGUUGAAGCUGUCUUAAUUUAAUUAAUAUUACGAAUUGCCGUUAUAAUCAUUUAAAUGGCGUCUGAAUAUUCUAAAGUCUAUUGUCAGACAGACAUACAGACGUAUUGUCAAUUAGCAAAGCUGUUUAGUUUACAUGAGCUAUCAUA